This 97-nucleotide ribosomal RNA is filed under the name uncultured bacterium. Its description in RNAcentral is "partial 16S ribosomal RNA". It matches the Rfam family "Bacterial small subunit ribosomal RNA", at positions 1386 to 1482 of the family's 1533-position model. The record is from RNAcentral.
CACACCGCCCGUCACACCAUGGGAGUUUGUUGCACCAGAAGCAGGUAGCUUAACCUCCGGGAGGGCGCUUGCCACGGUGUGGCCGAUGACUGGGGUG